ACACUGCCUUUGCCGGUCCCAAGCCCGGAUGAGAAAAUGUGGAGGGAACUGCAUCGUUUCCAUUAGAACUUGCAUGGUCUUGAAAUAUUUUAAUUUGAGUGACAGGGAAUGAAGGGUGUAGAAGUUACUGUCGUUAAUGUCCUAAUCAAACAGUGAAUCAUAGCAUAAUGUGGUAAGCAUAUGAUUCAAGCUUUGAAUGCAUCCUUGCUUGAUAAAAAAGCUAUGCAACUUUAAUGGUAGUUAGAGCUUACCUUGAGGAACUUACUUGCUGCCUUUCUGAAGCUACACAAGAUGUUCUUACGAUCCCAAAGGGGAGUGAGCGUCCUCGUGUAGUGUUCUUUAGACCGUCCACACGAGCGCUUGUGUACGAGGAACCCCCCGGUUCUCUUGCUCGGCUAUGGGCUGACAACACUUGAAAUUAACAAGUGUUAAUUAUGGGGUAACCUCUCUUUAUAACUGCCACUUCUUUUGAAGAGAUGCCUCUUCCUCACAUCUCUUCUCCUUGCAUAUAUACAUACAAUCAUCUAAUGAAAAAGACAGUCGAUUCAUAACAGGACAAAGCUGGAAACGGCACAACACUCGACCGGUGAAGCCACAGCCCGGCAAUGACGCCCCAUUGCUACAGGAUAAAGGUGCUUCUUUUCCAAUUUGAUCUUGUAUAUUUACUCCUUUCGUUCUAAAAUAAAUGACUCAACUUUACAUUAAUUUUAUAUUAAAAUUAGUAUAAAAUUAAGUCAUUUAUUUUAAGACGGAGGAAGUACAUGCUAAUCAUGAUUAAUACCUCUGGCACUCCCGUGCACGCAUAUGCUGCCCUCUGCCAUGCGACAACGUAGAGUCUUCGGCGAAUAGGCGGCCGAUUGAAACUUGUUGCGUGGCACAACGGCUAUUCUCGCGGCCCGGGCAUUGAACCGGCCAGAGGGCGACGCAGCCCUCGGCUUGCAUCAGCGUGGCGCGACGGCUUUGGGUGCGGCUUCUCAUGGCACUCCCUCCUGCACAGCCGUGACCGCGUCUGCACCUAGCAAACAACUCUCGGCCUUCAACCGCGACGCGGCCCUAGGCAAAUGACCGCACAGAUCGGCGACGCUCGAGGCAACGGCCCCCCUUCGACACGUGUGUGGCGACGACACCGAUGGUCGAAACAUUGCUUUCGGCAUCGGAGGCGAUUGCUCCCUCCGGCGUGGUUCCCCGCGGCGAAGACAUCGGGGCCAUAGACUCAGCCUUGGCCGUCGAGCNNN
RNAcentral lists this long non-coding RNA (1235 nucleotides) under Hordeum vulgare. RNAcentral describes it as "long non-coding RNA (HVUL_LNC007969)". The record is from RNAcentral. Lineage: Eukaryota; Viridiplantae; Streptophyta; Magnoliopsida; Poales; Poaceae.